Molecule: non-coding RNA, 6353 nt
Organism: Bactrocera oleae (olive fruit fly)
Lineage: Eukaryota; Metazoa; Arthropoda; Insecta; Diptera; Tephritidae
Source: RefSeq, a predicted model, not a curated record
GGUUUGAUACGGGCGGUAAGUACGGAAGGGAGGAAUGUCGGUUAAUUCCUCUAAUUUUAUAGAGAGAUGAUAAUAUUUUCUCAUCCAUAUUAACACAAUAGUGACCACAUGACCUUUCUGAAAUAGUCUGGAGCUCAUCAAAUACACCAGGCGAGGACCCCACUCACUUGGUAUCCGCAGUGCGGAAAGAACUGGUCACAGCAUGCGACGCAACUCUGCGUAGAACAGUACACCACAACAAACGUAAACCAGCCUAUUGGUAGAAUGAAGAAAUAGAUACGCUCAGAAAGGUCUGUAUUGCAGCUAGACACCGUCUACAACGUUAUCAAUGUGGGAAAGUGCAAACAGUCUCGGAGAAAUGUUUAAAGCACAAAAGAAGCUUCUAAAGUCAGCCAUUGCCCGCAGCAUAAGGAACUGUUUUGAAAAGCUCUGUGAGGAAGCUCACGUAGACCCUUGGAGUAUGGCUAUUUCAAAAUUCAAAAAAUAAGACACAACAAUCAAAAAGCGUAUAUCUAAGAAACAUUAUUCCCAAAAUACCAUCUGAUUUCCUAUGCUAAACAGCGAACCGAAGUUGUAGAGCCACCGCUACUAGUUAGUGAAGAAGAAAUAUUGGCCAUAGUGGGAAAAAUAAAAAGCAUCAAAGCGCCUGGUAUAGAUGGCAUACCAACUAGAGCCUUAAAGGAGACCAUGAAUUUAAAACCAAAUGUGUUCGCACAAAUGUACAAUGCGUGCUUAAAGGAAAGGAUAUUCAAUGAAAACUUCAGCGAUUGGCCGGCGGAAUAUCAGAAAGACAAUUCGGCCUUAUAAAAAAUAGGUCCACUAUUGACGUACUAAACAAUGUCGUUGAAACUGCGAAAUGCGCUGUAAGUAGUAAAAGAUGGAAAGGCAUGACUAAAAAAUAUUGCGCGCUGAUCACCCUGAAUGUGAAGAAUACCUCCAACUCUGCAAAAUGGGCAAACAUAAUCAAGGCCCUGUAUGAAAUAUGCGCUCCUCAAUAUCUUGUAAACGCUAUUAUAAGUUAUUUUGAAAACAGACGUUUAUUAUUCGACACUGAUGAAGGCAUCAAAAUGUACUAUAUUUCGAGUGGAGUACCGCAAGGCUCGGUUUAGGUCCCCUUCUAUGGAGCCUAAAGUAUAAUGGGGUGCUAAGGAGAUACCAGCCAAAACCUGUGAAAUUAAUCGGGUACGCGGACGACCUUAUAGUGGUAGCAGUGGCUAAACACCUAGACAGCAACGGUGGGAAACCUUACCGGACAGCCAUUCGUGGAUAGCCAGAUGACAUGGGGUUCUGGAUUUUCACCUGACCCAAAUAUUGAGGGGACAUGGGUGCCUUAGAAGCUACCUGUACAGAUUCCAUUGCGACAUUAGUCCGAACUGUCCGACGUGUACAGAGUUCCCACUAGGCACGUUUUAAAAAAGAUUAAACCUAAUUUCAUUACUGAUGAUCUUUUCAGACUUAAUAAUUACAUUAAAUAUCUUAAGUGAAUGUAAUGAGGCAUCGUUUGUUCAAGGGAAUGCACACGUAUCUAUGCAGUACUGCAUAUUUUAACCCGAAGUAAAUGUUUCGUAAUAUUGUAAUUACUACACCCUCCGCUCACCUUUUGUUUACUUGUAUUGGUUUAUAGCUUUAAAUUUAACAAAAAGUUCUGAUAAAAAUAACCGUUGACAAUUGAUAAUACAAGUGGUUGAAUCUUUAAUAAAUGAACCUAACCUCAAAAAAUAAUUAAGACCGGUGUCAUUAGGAGCUUAUGUACAUAUGUAUAUCAAUGAUUCCAUUGGAGGUAUUUCUCUAUCUCUGUAACCAAAUAAAUAUUGUGAAAAAUUUUGCAAUAGCGUCACCUAUCGAGGCAAUAAGAGAGUUCCAUUAUAUUUUGAUAUUUUAUUAAUUUAUAAAUAUAUUAUCAUUAAAAAGUCAUAGCAUGAGGUCUCUAUAAAAAGAUUUUACUUCGUCAGCUCAGCAAUAUUCCAUAUGUGUGUAUUGGAGAUUGGUAAAUGUUCACCUUUUAUCCUCACCCAUUUAAGGCCUAUUUGCCUAUUUAUCUUCUUACCGUGAGUUCUCUGCGCAUAUCACUUUCGUGAACAUAAUAUAUACAUAAGUACUUGUAUAUAUUUAUUUGUUCAUUCAGCCGUGUUUUUCACACAAACACAGAAAUAAAAGUACGUCGCUGGCCUAGGGGCCUAAGACUAUGGCUAUCCUCCCCCACUUCCUUUGGCAGGUUCAAAUUUUGCCAUCUCAACUGUCUAUAAGUCCGCUAUAUCGACGUUAAUUUGUUCACUUGUCUGCUGCGCUGGUGACCGUUAACUUUUGCUUGAUGCAGAUUCACAUGGGUCACUCCAUUAAAUGUUAUGUAUACACAGUAAUAAUUGUUUUGUGGGCCGCUGUUAUUGUUAUCAAUAUUAUUUGUUUGUGCUAUGUUGUUUGCUAUUGUUGUUGCAUGUAAUAUGCGGUGAGCUUCUUGUUUCAACGUCAACUUCUGGUUUUGACAUUUUAUGGAUUAUUUCAAUUUAGUUGAAAGCCACUACACGCAUCAACGCAUUUGCACACAAAUUCGCACAUUUGUUCUAAUACUGUUUUAAGAGCGUACACACCCUCUAAGGCUAUAUCAAGUUAUUCAGAGUCUUCCUUCUGAACUAAAAACUCAAUCAUAUUAAAUACUUAAUAAUAAAAAGCAUCGUUUGAAACUUCUCUGAUCAAUAUAAGUACAUAUGUAUGUAUGUAUGUAUGUAUUUGGAACUUGAUAUUCUGUGACAUGUGAAAUUAUCUAGCGAAGUCAAAUUGGUGAAUAUAAUACAAGAGAGAAUGUGGUUUCUCAUUAAAAUAUUCUAAUUUCUUUCUCUAUAUACAUUUUUUGAUAUUUAUUGAAAAAAUUAGGUCUCGACUAAUUUCAAGUCUUCUUCAAAAUUUUUUAAAUUAUUUUCCUAUAGGGUACCUGGCUUGUGUUCUUGUCUGUAACAGCAUCUAUAAUAUAUGAGAAGUGUGAUAGAGGCCAAGGAGAACAUACAUACAUACAUAGCUAGUCGACUAGAACUCGGCGAUUGCUGCUUGUUGACAUUUAAUUUGAUACAGGAACAGAAGUAAAACGAAAAAAAUAACACAAAACUCGAUUGCAUUCCUCGUUUUAAUAACAGGUUUGGAGAUAGCAAAAACUUUAUGAGGUCUAAACAUGUUAUUUACUUUUGAAUAUCUCUGAACCAUAUUGAUAAAUUCAACCAAAAUCGUGUUCUGUGUGUAUUCGUUACAUAAUGGUUGUGAAAUGACUAAAGGAGACGAAGGCAAGAAAUAAUUAUACAAUAAUAGUCAACGAAAAGAGAAAUAUUAAGAACCAUAAUUAAGAAAUCAAUGAGGAGGACGAUAAAACUGACUAUUUCACAGACGGAAGCAAAAAUUAACCCAUUCUCAUCUCAAAUCAUUCACAUUUCUUUUAAAAAGUCUUCAUAUUUUUGUAAUCUGUGUAAAAUUGUAGUCGAUCUGUUUAAUUUUGAAGUAUUCGAAAGAGCGAGUUCUAGGAUCAAAUUUCCUUCCAGGUUUUAGUAAGAAUACAAAAAUUUGUUUCGCCUAGUUUCUUUGUAUAUAACUAAUAAAUCAGAACCCUAACCUUUGCAUUUCCUUUAAUGAUGAUAGUAUUUGUACGACUAAAAUAUUUAAUAUUCGAACAAUGUCUGCUUGUUUAGAAAGCUAAAAUAUGGUAGUCGGUUAUGAAUAAUGGAACAAUUUUUCCUUGUUAAUAGAAGUAAGAUAAUGUUUUUUGUCAUUAUGCUUUGGUCUUAAUUGUAUUGUGAUCAAUGAUGAUUGAAUAAUGAGCUUGAUUAAUGUAUUAGUAAUACUAGUAAAUUUAUUAUUAUAGUUAAAUAAUCAACAAAUAUUUGAGUAAAAGAAUUUAUUUGUAAAAUUUUAAAGUUAUGGCGAUGUUCUUGCAUAGCCUAAGGUCCUACUACUUUGAGGUAAAUUGAAUGAAGCUGUUAGAAAAAGCUGUAUUUUAAUAAAAAUAUUGGAUCAAUGUAAAAUAGGCAUCGCUCACUCAGUAGUUAAAAGCAAAUAUCCUAAAAACUUCCUAAUGGACAAUAUUUAUAGUUUUUUGUUAAUUGCUGUGAAAUUAAUUCAUACAAGGAAAAAAGAGUUGUUACAAAUAAUGUUGAAUAUCGCUAUGAUUAAACCUGUUCACAAAAACAGCCCUGGAGAAAAAUUUUUAACCAGUGUUGAUUUGGAGACAGAUAACAUCUUUCACGGAAAAUUGUAAAGUCCUUUUUGUUCUGGGUGUGAGCUAUAUUUUAAUAGAGUAUAUGUUAUUUAUGCAGAAGGUUAUGGUGGCACGACAUGGGGUAUAUUUACUUGUGAUUUAGUACUGUUCCAGGAGCAUCACGUAUUACUAGCCCAGUGAAGUCAAUGUUAUAAGGUCCCCAUAUUUAGUAGACUCGUUACCUUAGAUUUAGGUCUUUGUGUUGAGGCUUGGCUUAAAAAUAAUUUUGUACUUUUCGAAUUGUUUACAUUACUUUGUUUAAAAACUCAUUAUUAGUUACCCCGAACUUGGCUACAACCCAGUAAAGCUAAAAAAAACAAUAAUUGUCAAAAUUUUACAAUGUAUUAUUUCUCGACUAGUCUGCUUCGAGAUUCCUCCACGGUAUGAAUGUUGGUGACACUUAUGGUAAUGAACGACUACUUGUUUAUUGAAGAAUAUCAAUUCUAUAUUAUACUUGCGUAUUCGUGAAGGUUCUGCUAUCCUGAAUUCACCCUUGGCUUUUGACUUCUGUCAAUAACUUUCACAUAUUAGUUAUUGAUGUAUGUAUGUACGAGUAUUCAUAUGUAUUUUCGUGUGGGUAACUUUUAUUCAAAGUCUUAAAUUCAACAAAUAAGCCAUUUUGUUCUGCAAAAUACUCUCACACAAACACACACACGCAAAUGGAACCAGAGACAUGAAUUGUCUUGGUAACUGCGUAUUUCAUUAAAUAUUUUACGCACACACUUCUAAGCCCUUGAUACACUAUGACUACGGCUCGUACACUAUAUACUUAUGUAUGUACCGUUAGAAUACCGUUACUCCGCAAAGCCACAGACACAAGCACAAUAACGCGUCGUUACGGUUGUACCCCCGCACCGUAUAUUCAGAGAAUUACUUUGGAGUUCUAAGACCGUCUCUAAUCACUAUCCGCCCGCUGCAUGGAACGUUCAAAUCGCUGUAGACGCGCACCGAAAACUGAUGGCCCGACAUUCUUUUGGCAAGGACUUCACCAACAAGUUGCAAAAUUUUCGCCUCUGUGAGCACAUUCGAAAGCUUUACGCAAAGUUGGCAUUGAAAUUUCACGUCGACGCACGAAUGAACACAUUUCUGUAUGACAUACAUACAAACACAUAUACCGUAAGCAUGGUUUGGCGCUAGUGAAAGGGAGGCAUCAGUGCAUGGAGUGGGGAGGAGCGGAGCUUUUUCGCAACUUGUUGCCACUUUAGGAGCAGACGCAUGGAGCGAUUAUCGAAAACAGCUGUUGCAUAAACGUUUGCACCGUUGGUUGAGAGCGAUUGGCGGAUGAAGUUUGUUGUUGUUCGCAGUGAAAAACGCCGUCGGCGGCUUAAAAGGAAUUUUCACAGGUAAAAUGGUCUGGCAUAAUUCGUUCUGGCUGUGGCGUAUUUGUUGUAACAUAUCUCUGACCAUAAAACUCCUGCAGUUCUUUGCAAAACGAAGCGUUGUUGGAUACGUACUCGUCUACACCGAUUCAUCGAUUCAUCAAUACAUAUGUAUGUAUUUGUCACAUUUUUUCCGAUUGUCGUCUUUACUGAAGUGGGCAUUUGAAUUGGAUACUUGAAAUUGAAGUGUUACCUGGGGUUCAAAUGUGUGACUCGUUUUGCGUAGUUUUACAGCUUUAAAGUUUUCUGAUUUCAAUUUUUUUAAGUUAUAAGUGUUUUGUGGGGGGUAUAGGUAUUUGGCAGAAUCCGUUUGACUGAUUAGCUAGAUGAACUAAAAAAACGAUCUCGCCGUCUGACUUUACGAUACCUUCGACAGCUUUGAACCUAGUAGUUGAAAGUAUGAAAUAAUAUUUUAUAAGAAAAAUGUUGAAAAGAUUGGCUCAAAUUUUUAGGUAUUUUACUUUUUUUAAAUUAAAAGCAAAAUUUUCAUGUGGCGGCAAAGGAACAAAAACAGUUUUAAAUGAAACACCCUAAUAGUAUAUAUAUUUAUAGCAACAUACAUACUGGUAACGCAUUAGGAUACGGUUCCAACCGCCGUUGUCGACUCAAAAAUGGGUAGUGUAGUCGUUAUCAAAAACAAUUGAUGUUGAUAUAUUAUUUGAGAAAUUAGUACAAAUCUAUAUGUUAUUGUAUUAAUCAGAAUAAAAAAUUGUGAUCAUUUGAGAAUGAUAUUUCCG